CGAGCGGACUUCUUAAAAGCUUGCUUUUAAGAAGUCAGCGGCGGACGGGUGAGUAACACGUGGGCAACCUGCCUGUAAGACUGGGAUAACUUCGGGAAACCGGAGCUAAUACCGGAUAAUAUAAGGAACCUCCUGGUUCUUUAUUGAAAGAUGGUUUCGGCUAUCACUUGCAGAUGGGCCCGCGGCGCAUUAGCUAGUUGGUGAGGUAAUGGCUCACCAAGGCAACGAUGCGUAGCCGACCUGAGAGGGUGAUCGGCCACACUGGGACUGAGACACGGCCCAGACUCCUACGGGAGGCAGCAGUAGGGAAUCUUCCACAAUGGACGAAAGUCUGAUGGAGCAACGCCGCGUGAGCGAUGAAGGCCUUCGGGUCGUAAAGCUCUGUUGUUAGGGAAGAACAAGUGCGAGAGUAACUGCUCGCACCUUGACGGUACCUAACCAGAAAGCCACGGCUAACUACGUGCCAGCAGCCGCGGUAAUACGUAGGUGGCAAGCGUUGUCCGGAAUUAUUGGGCGUAAAGCGCGCGCAGGUGGUCCUUUAAGUCUGAUGUGAAAGCCCACGGCUCAACCGUGGAGGGUCAUUGGAAACUGGGGGACUUGAGUGCAGAAGAGGAAAGUGGAAUUCCAAGUGUAGCGGUGAAAUGCGUAGAGAUUUGGAGGAACACCAGUGGCGAAGGCGACUUUCUGGUCUGUAACUGACACUGAGGCGCGAAAGCGUGGGGAGCAAACAGGAUUAGAUACCCUGGUAGUCCACGCCGUAAACGAUGAGUG
RNAcentral lists this ribosomal RNA (771 nucleotides) under Sutcliffiella horikoshii. RNAcentral describes it as "bacterial SSU rRNA". It matches the Rfam family "Bacterial small subunit ribosomal RNA", at positions 63 to 815 of the family's 1533-position model. Lineage: Bacteria; Bacillati; Bacillota; Bacilli; Caryophanales; Bacillaceae. The record is from RNAcentral.